RNAcentral lists this transfer RNA (83 nucleotides) under Lachnospiraceae bacterium. RNAcentral's name for it is "tRNA-Leu". It matches the Rfam family "tRNA". Rfam says of the family: Transfer RNA (tRNA) molecules are approximately 80 nucleotides in length. RNAcentral also lists the same sequence under 2 other names. Lineage: Bacteria; Bacillati; Bacillota; Clostridia; Lachnospirales; Lachnospiraceae. The record is from RNAcentral.
GCGGGAAUGCUGGAAUUGGCAGACAGGCAUGACUAAGGAUCAUGUUCGCGUAGCGAGUGAGGGUUCAAGUCCCUUUUCCCGCA